UGAAUUUAGGCUUGCGCUGAAGUGUUAGGC
RNAcentral lists this non-coding RNA (30 nucleotides) under Rattus norvegicus (Norway rat). The record is from RNAcentral. Lineage: Eukaryota; Metazoa; Chordata; Mammalia; Rodentia; Muridae.